RNAcentral lists this non-coding RNA (45 nucleotides) under Trichlorobacter ammonificans. Its description in RNAcentral is "Trichlorobacter sp. G1 mini-ykkC". It matches the Rfam family "Guanidine-II riboswitch aptamer (mini-ykkC)". From Rfam's summary of the family: Simpler in structure and has fewer highly conserved nucleotide positions than the ykkC-yxkD leader. Despite this each of its two stem-loop structures directly bind free guanidine. The record is from RNAcentral. Lineage: Bacteria; Pseudomonadati; Thermodesulfobacteriota; Desulfuromonadia; Geobacterales; Geobacteraceae.
AAGUGAGGACGACCUCACCUCUCUACUCCGACUGGGGACGGCCCC